This 440-nucleotide ribosomal RNA is filed under the name uncultured bacterium. Its description in RNAcentral is "partial 16S ribosomal RNA". It matches the Rfam family "Bacterial small subunit ribosomal RNA", at positions 338 to 795 of the family's 1533-position model. The record is from RNAcentral.
CCUACGGGAGGCUGCAGUGGGGAAUAUUGCACAAUGGGGGAAACCCUGAUGCAGCGACGCCGCGUGAGUGAAGAAGUCUUUCGGUAUGUAAAGCUCUGUCAGCAGGGAAGAAAAUGACGGUACCUGACCAAGAAGCCCCGGCUAUCUACGUGCCAGAAGCCGCGGUAACACGGAGGGGGCCAGCGUUAUCCGGAUUUACCGGGUGUAAAGGGAGCGUAGACGGGAGGGCAAGUCUGUAGUGAAAGGUGGGGGCUCAACCCCCGGACUGCACUUGAAACCGGCAGGCUGGAGUGCAGGAGAGGUAAGUGGAAUUCCUGGUGUAGCGGUGAAAUGCGUAGAUAUUAGGAGGAACACCAGUGGCGAAGGCAGCUUACUGGACUGUAACUGACGUUGAGGCUCGAAAGCGUGGGGAGCAAACAGGAUUAGAUACCCGAGUAGUC